ACGGGAGGCAGCAGUGGGGAAUAUUGGGCAAUGGAGGGAACUCUGACCCAGCAAUGCCGCGUGAGUGAAGAAGGUUUUCGGAUUGUAAAACUCUUUAAUCGGGGACGAAGAAAGUGACUGUACCCGAGGAAUAAGCAUCGGCUAACUACGUGCCAGCAGCCGCGGUAAUACGUAGGAUGCAAGCGUUAUCCGGAAUGACUGGGCGUAAAGGGUGCGUAGGCGGCAUGUCAAGUUGGCAGCGUAAUUCCGGGGCUUAACUCCGGAACUACUGCCAAAACUGGCGAGCUGGAGUGCGGCAGGGGUAUGUGGAAUUCCUAGUGUAGCGGUGGAAUGCGUAGAUAUUAGGAGGAACACCGGUGGCGAAAGCGACAUACUGGGCCGUAACUGACGCUGAGGCACGAAAGCGUGGGGAGCAAACAGGAUUAGAUACCCUGGUA
This 437-nucleotide ribosomal RNA is filed under the name uncultured bacterium. RNAcentral describes it as "bacterial SSU rRNA". It matches the Rfam family "Bacterial small subunit ribosomal RNA", at positions 341 to 792 of the family's 1533-position model. The record is from RNAcentral.